This 401-nucleotide ribosomal RNA is filed under the name Rhinella hoogmoedi. RNAcentral's name for it is "partial 16S ribosomal RNA". It matches the Rfam family "Bacterial large subunit ribosomal RNA", at positions 1835 to 2422 of the family's 2925-position model. The record is from RNAcentral. Lineage: Eukaryota; Metazoa; Chordata; Amphibia; Anura; Bufonidae.
CUUGAACUUUAUAAGAGGUCCAGCCUGCCCAGUGACUCUGUUCAACGGCCGCGGUAUCCUAACCGUGCGAAGGUAGCGUAAUCACUUGUUCUUUAAAUGUGGACUAGUAUGAAUGGCACUACGAGGGUUAUACUGUCUCCUUUUUCUAAUCAGUGAAACUAAUUUUCCCGUGAAGAAGCGGGAAUAUAACUAUAAGACGAGAAGACCCUAUGGAGCUUUAAACAACCCAGCAAUUACUUCUAAAAUUUUAAAUUUCAAAAUAUUCAUUCUUUAAGUAAUAUGUCUGCAAGUUUUUGGUUGGGGUGACCAUGGAGAAUAACAUAACCUCCAUAUUGAAUGAAUUCCCUUCUAAGCUGAAAAUCACCAAUUGAAGCAUCAACACACUGACAUCUAUUGACCCA